ACUGCAGACUGUAUGUAAUGUUAACUGGAAGAAAAACUAAGUCCAUUUAUAAGUAAAAUACGGGAAAAAUGGAAUUUUAUUUUUACAAAAUUUACAUCUGGAUACUAUCUUCUGAUCAUAAACAAGCUUCUGGCCAAGUUUCUUACAAUUCCAGGAUAGUUUAAGAAAGUUAUUAAAAUUUUACAAACUUUAACCACAGAGUGAAUGUAAUGUUUCCUGGCAGAAAAAACUAAGUCCAUUUAUAAGUAAAAUAUGGAAAAAAUGGAAUUUUAUUUUUACAAAAUUUACUUCUGGAUACUAUCUCCUGAUCAUAAACAAGCUUCUGGCCAAGUUUUGUACAUUUCCAGGAUAGUUUAAGAAAGUUAUUAAAAUUUUAAAAACUAACCACAGAGUGAAUGUAAUGUUUCCUGGCAGAAAAAACUAAGUCCAUUUAUAAGUAAAAU
RNAcentral lists this long non-coding RNA (443 nucleotides) under Mytilus galloprovincialis (Mediterranean mussel). Lineage: Eukaryota; Metazoa; Mollusca; Bivalvia; Mytilida; Mytilidae. The record is from RNAcentral.